UGUUAGCGGCGGACGGGUGAGUAACACGUGGAUAACCUACCUAUAAGACUGGGAUAACUUCGGGAAACCGGAGCUAAUACCGGAUAAUAUUUUGAACCGCAUGGUUCAAAAGUAAAAGACGGUCUUGCUGUCACUUAUAGAUGGAUCCGCGCUGCAUUAGCUAGUUGGUAAGGUAACGGCUUACCAAGGCAACGAUGCAUAGCCGACCUGAGAGGGUGAUCGGCCACACUGGAACUGAGACACGGUCCAGACUCCUACGGGAGGCAGCAGUAGGGAAUCUUCCGCAAUGGGCGAAAGCCUGACGGAGCAACGCCGCGUGAGUGAUGAAGGUCUUCGGAUCGUAAAACUCUGUUAUUAGGGAAGAACAUAUGUGUAAGUAACUGUGCACAUCUUGACGGUACCUAAUCAGAAAGCCACGGCUAACUACGUGCCAGCAGCCGCGGUAAUACGUAGGUGGCAAGCGUUAUCCGGAAUUAUUGGGCGUAAAGCGCGCGUAGGCGGUUUUUUAAGUCUGAUGUGAAAGCCCACGGCUCAACCGUGGAGGGUCAUUGGAAACUGGAAAACUUGAGUGCAGAAGAGGACACAGUGGAAUUCCAUGUGUAGCGGUGAAAUGCGCAGAGAUAUGGAGGAACACCAGUGGCGAAGGCGACUUUCUGGUCUGUAACUGACGCUGAUGUGCGAAAGCGUGGGGAUCAAACAGGAUUAGAUACCCUGGUAGUCCACGCCGUAAACGAUGAGUGCUCAAGUGUUAGGGGGUUUCCGCCCCUUAGUGCUGCAGCUAACGCAUUAAGCACUCCGCCUGG
Molecule: ribosomal RNA, 803 nt
Filed under: uncultured Staphylococcus sp.
Lineage: Bacteria; Bacillati; Bacillota; Bacilli; Caryophanales; Staphylococcaceae
Description: bacterial SSU rRNA
Rfam family: Bacterial small subunit ribosomal RNA
Source: RNAcentral